CAAGACCGAAGACCCAAGACGUAGGUCGUUUGGUAGAACCAAUGUAAGGACAACAUUUAAGUUAUCUUAUCCUUUGGCUCAACAUUAGGUCAUCAUAAGCAUGCAUAAAACAUUUUUAUCAUAAACAUGCAUCUUUGUGCUAAACCAAAAUGAUUUGUAUUUUAGUCAAAAUGGUUUAUAAACAUGUCUUUUAAAAUCUGGACCUCAAUAAUCGAUUAUUUGAAUCCUACA
This 231-nucleotide long non-coding RNA is filed under the name Nicotiana benthamiana. RNAcentral's name for it is "long non-coding RNA (NBEN_LNC003569)". Lineage: Eukaryota; Viridiplantae; Streptophyta; Magnoliopsida; Solanales; Solanaceae. The record is from RNAcentral.